GAUGAACGCUGGCGGCGUGCCUAAUACAUGCAAGUCGAGCGAAGCGGGGACGGGUGCGUAACACGUGGAUAACCUCCUAUAAGACUGGGAUAACUUAGGGAAACCGGAGCUAAACCGGAUACAUAUAGAUGGAUCCUCGCUGCAUUUGAUAGUUGGUAAGGUAACGGCUUACCAAGGCAACGAUGCAUAGCCGACCUGCGAGGGUGAUCGGCACCACUAGACCUGAAACGAGGUCCAGACUCCUACGGGAGGCAGCAGUAGGGUAUCUUCCGCAAUGGGCGAAAGCCUGACGGAGCAACCCCGCGUGAGUGAUGAAGUUCUUCGGAUCUUAAAACUCUGUUAUUAGGGAAGCGGUACCUAAGCAGAAAGCCACGGCUAACUACGUGCCAGCAGCCGCGGUAAUAC
RNAcentral lists this ribosomal RNA (405 nucleotides) under uncultured bacterium. Its description in RNAcentral is "partial 16S ribosomal RNA". It matches the Rfam family "Bacterial small subunit ribosomal RNA", at positions 28 to 526 of the family's 1533-position model. The record is from RNAcentral.